RNAcentral lists this ribosomal RNA (215 nucleotides) under Pratylenchus quasitereoides. Its description in RNAcentral is "partial 28S ribosomal RNA". It matches the Rfam family "Eukaryotic large subunit ribosomal RNA", at positions 646 to 834 of the family's 3401-position model. Lineage: Eukaryota; Metazoa; Nematoda; Chromadorea; Rhabditida; Pratylenchidae. The record is from RNAcentral.
GACCCGUCUUGAAACACGGACCAAGGAGUUUAUCGUGUGCGCGAGUCAUUGGGCGUUAAAAACCCAAAGGCGCAAUGAAAGUGAAUGCCUCCGCAAGGAGCUGACGUGCGAUCCCGGGUACCUCGGUGCCUGGGCGCAGCAUGGCCCCAUCCUGACUGCUUGCAGUGGGGUGGCGGAAGAGCGUAUGGGGUGAGACCCGAAAGAUGGUGAACUAU